RNAcentral lists this ribosomal RNA (1062 nucleotides) under uncultured organism. RNAcentral describes it as "bacterial SSU rRNA". It matches the Rfam family "Bacterial small subunit ribosomal RNA", at positions 305 to 1400 of the family's 1533-position model. The record is from RNAcentral.
CCCCCACAAUGGGACUGAGACACGGGCCAUACUCCUACGGGAGGCAGCAGCGGGGAAUAUUGCGCAAUGGACGGAAGUCAGACGCAGCGACGCCGCGUGGGUGAGGAAGGCCUUCGGGUUGUAAAGCCCUUUUCAGGGGAGCGAGAAAGGACGGUACCCUUGGAAUAAGCGUCGGCUAACUACGUGCCAGCAGCCGCGGUAAGACGUAGGACGCAAGCGUUAUCCGGAUUUACUGGGCGUAAAGCGCCUGUAGGCGGUCAAGUAAGUCGGAUGUGAAAGCCCCGUGCUCAACGCGGGGAAGCCAUUCGAUACUGCGUGACUAGAGAACGGCAGAGGGAAACGGAAUUUCUGGUGUAGCGGUAAAAUGCGCAGAGAUCAGAAAGAACACCGAUGGCGAAGGCAGUUUCCUAGGCCGCAUCUGACGCUGAGAGGCGAAAGCUAGGGGAGCAAACAGGAUUAGAGACCCUGGUAGUCCUAGCUGUAAACGAUGGAUGCUAGGUGUGGGCCGGAAAGGUCCGUGCCGUAGUUAACGCGAUAAGCAUCCCGCCUGGGGAGUACGGCCGCAAGGCUAAAACUCAAACGAAUUGACGGGGACCCGCACAAGCAGCGGAGCGUGUGGUUUAAUUCGAUGCUACACGCAGAACCUUACCUGGGCUUGACAUGUAGGUGGUAGUGAAGUGAAAGCGGAGCGACCCUUCGGGGAGCUUACACAGGUGCUGCAUGGCUGUCGUCAGCUCGUGCCGUGAGGUGUCGGGUUAAGUCCCGUAACGAGCGCAACCCUUGUCCUUAGUUACAAGUGUCUAAGGAGACUGCCGGUGACAAACCGGAGGAAGGUGGGGAUGACGUCAAGUCAGCAUGGCCCUUAUGUCCAGGGCGACACACACGCUACAAUGGUCGGUACAAUGGGCAGCGCAGCCGCGAGGUGAAGCGAAUCCCAACAAAGCCGAUCCCAGUUCGGAUUGCAGGCUGCAACCCGCAUGCAUGAAGCCGGAGUUGCUAGUAACCGCGCGUCAGCCAUAGUGCGGUGAUACGUUCCCGGGUCUUGUACACACCGCCCGUCAC